This 265-nucleotide ribosomal RNA is filed under the name uncultured Pseudomonas sp. Its description in RNAcentral is "partial 16S ribosomal RNA". It matches the Rfam family "Bacterial small subunit ribosomal RNA", at positions 1122 to 1382 of the family's 1533-position model. Lineage: Bacteria; Pseudomonadati; Pseudomonadota; Gammaproteobacteria; Pseudomonadales; Pseudomonadaceae. The record is from RNAcentral.
CACGUUAUGGUGGGCGACUCGUAAGGAGACUAGCCGGUGACAAACCGGAGGAAGGUGGGGAGUGACGUCAAGUCAUCAUGGCCCUUACGGCCUGGGCUACACACGUGCUACAAUGGUCGGUACAAAGGGUUGCCAAGCCGCGAGGUGGAGCUAAUCCCAUAAAACCGAUCGUAGUCCGGAUCGCAGUCUGCAACUCGACUGCGUGAAGUCGGAAUCGCUAGUAAUCGUGAAUCAGAAUGUCACGGUGAAUACGUUCCCGGGCCUU